RNAcentral lists this ribosomal RNA (468 nucleotides) under uncultured bacterium. Its description in RNAcentral is "partial 16S ribosomal RNA". It matches the Rfam family "Bacterial small subunit ribosomal RNA", at positions 28 to 507 of the family's 1533-position model. The record is from RNAcentral.
GACGAACGCUGGCGGCGUGCUUAACACAUGCAAGUCGAACGGAAAGGCCCUGCUUUCGUGGGGUGCUCGAGUGGCGAACGGGUGUGUAACCCGUGAGUAACCUGCCCUUGACUUUGGGAUAACUUCAGGAAACUGGGGCUAAUACCGGCUUGGAGCUCCUGCUGCAUGGUGGGGGUUGGAAAGUUUCGGCGGUUGGGGAUGGACUCCCGGCUUAUCAGCUUGUUGGUGGGGUAGUGGCUUACCAAGGCUUUGACGGGUAGCCGGCCUGAGAGGGUGACCAGCCACAUUGGGACUGAGGUACGGCGCAGAGUCCAACGGGAGGCAGCAGUGGGGAAUAUUACACAAUGGGGCGAAGCCUGAUGCAGCGACGCCGCGUGCGGGAUGACGGCCUUCGGGUUGUAAACCGCUUUCGCCUGUGACGAAGCGUGAGUGACGGUAAUGGGUAAAGAAGCACCGGCUAACUACGUG